This is a long non-coding RNA of Bubalus bubalis (water buffalo), 1132 nucleotides long. RefSeq lists it as uncharacterized. The record is from RefSeq and is a predicted model, not a curated record. The transcript is spliced from 5 exons. Lineage: Eukaryota; Metazoa; Chordata; Mammalia; Artiodactyla; Bovidae.
GUGGUUGAUGGGGACCAGGUGCUUCACAGAAUCCAUCUGAUUGAAGCUGUAAACUUCUCGCUGAUGGAGGAGGUGGCGGCUCAGUUCUUCCUAGCAGAGGCUUGGUUGCAAAUACCUGCCUUCCAGUUUUGGGGGUGGCAACAAACAGUUGAAAACCUUGGGGUGCUAUGAGGAAGAAGCUAAGGAUGAAGUGAGAGGAUAAUACCAUGCUGUCUAUGGCCCUCAACUUGGAUAAACCAAAAGUGGCUGAACAAAAUGGAGAUGGUUAAGCUUUUCCCAGGAUUGGCAGAGCCAGCCUAUCAUGGUGUCAAGUGCCAUCCUCUACGUGUGAAAGCUGCAAGGGGACUAUGGACACUUGGGGCAAGAGAUCACAGAUGGAGACAUGCAACAGACUACCUAAGACCCUGAGGACAACCUGAGGUGAGACCAUCUUGGAAAUUAAGACGUUCAAGAGCAGCUGUAUAAAGAGGAAUUCUGAAAGUCACAAGCAGGCCCAGAAGGAGAAGAGAGAGGAAAGGGUUACAAAUAUAUUUGGUGAAAUUGUGGCUGAAAACUUCCUGAAAUUGAAGAAAUUCCCACACAAAAUGAACCCAAAGAGAUCCACAUCAAGACAAAUGAUUUGAAGCAAUAAAACAAUAGAGAUGGACUUGGAGGGUAUUGUGCUAAGUGAAAUAAGUCAGAGAAAGACGAAUACUGUAUGAUAUUACUCAUAUGUGGAAUCUGAAUAAUAUAAGAAACUAGUGAAUAUAGCAAAGAAGAAACAGACUUACAGAUUUACAGAGCAAAGUACUGAUUACCAGUCAGAUGAGUGAAGGGGAAAGGGACAAAAUGGUAGGGAAUUUAGAAAUAGCAACUAUUAUGCAAAAUAAGCUAUGAGAAUAUAUUGUGUAAUGCAGGGAAUAUAGCCAGUGUUUUGUGAUAAGUAUCAAUGGAGUAUAGCCUUUGGAAGUUGUGAAUCACUAUUAUACAUCUGUAACUGUAUAUAAUAUUGUACAACAACUAUAUAUUUCACAUGAUUGAUUAACAAUGUUGUCUUAGUUUUAGGUGUACAGCAAAGUGAUUCAGCGAUAUAUAUACAUUUAUCUAUCCUUUUGCAAAUUCUUUUCCCAUUUAGGUUAUUACAGAGCACUGA